Oryzias melastigma (Indian medaka) is the source of this 869-nucleotide RNA transcript. RefSeq lists it as uncharacterized. The record is from RefSeq and is a predicted model, not a curated record. The transcript has 5 exons. Lineage: Eukaryota; Metazoa; Chordata; Actinopteri; Beloniformes; Adrianichthyidae.
AUGACUGUGUGAAGGAAAGGAAAACCAUGCUAGGUAGAAGGGGCGGGGCUAAGCUAAAGAAGUUGAGAUGUGCGUCAGUCUUGCAUGAUGAAUGAAAGAGGAAAGAUGAAGCCGUUACUGAUCAGCCUCCUUUUAGUUGUGUGUUUCUCUUUAAGUUUUUCCUCAAACUGGCACAAAGUCCCACAAACUGCAGACUUUGAAGUCUCUGAGAGAGAGACGGUGAACGCCAGCUGCUGCGUAGCAAAAAGCAUUCAAAGAGGACGAGUGAAAUGGUUUAAAAAUAAAACAAAAAUUGCUGAAGCUGUGAUUUACCUUAAAGAUAAACAUGUCAAAUGUCUUAAUUCAACCUUAUCAAACUUCUCUAGUAAGAGUUGGGACAUUUACUCAUGUAAAGUUUUUAUUGAGAUACCAGUUUUGACUGAACUUGAAGGAAACGUAACGUUCAUCAGAGGAAACGCCACAGAGGAGCAGAGAGACGCACCGACAGGAGAUAAGGAAGAACCUCCACCAAGAAAACUUUCAUUCACCAUCAUAGCUGCUCUGGCCGUGGCGUUGCCAUUGAUCCUGAUCACCACCAUCUGUUUCUGCUGGAUGCAAAAGAGAAGAGGUAUUGAAAAAAGGAAACACAUCCGAGGUGAUCUACGAUGUUCCUCACUUUGAUUCUACGGGAGCAGAGAUGGAGAAGCACAGCACCAGCUCCUCCAGAGGGUCUUCUCAGUGGUGCCAGGUUCCUCUAUACGAGUCUCUGGCCUACUUUGAGAAAGUGGAGGACAAAGAGAGUGAAUGAAGAUCUCCACCAGCUACUCCUCAUCAUGUUACUUGUAGUCUUCUAACCUUCUGUAAAUAAAUCACUUUCUAUCUAAACCAAA